GCUUUGAUGACUUUGACUUCACAAGGACAGACCAUGGUGACUUCAUUAUCAUCAUCAUCCCUAAUCUCUGAACUGACCAAGUCUUACUAAAAGCUAAAGAAAGACCUUACUAAAUCGGACUCCGGUGGCACGCUGGUAAUCUCAGUACUUGAGACCAAGGGAGGAGAUCAGACCCUGCCAAGCCUUUCAGCUAUCUACUUCCUGAGCAAUGAAGCCUGAGGUAAUGAGCUUUUAGAUUUAAACCAGAUUAGAUCUAAGACGAACGUGACCGUUGCUGUCUUGAAUCAGCCACAGGAGAGGUUCAUGGAACUAGGCCUAUUAAUAUCCCCUCAUGAGGAAAAGGUCCAUAUUCAGGAGCAAGUUGACCAGGACUCUUCCAUUAUUGAAGCUUCCCAUAAGUGACCCAAGGACUCCUCAGUGGUGUGGGUUCUUUGUGAAUCAUCCCUGCUACAGGUGAGACUUUUAAUUUGGUAUAGUUGCCCAUUAAACUGCCCAAGGGACUUCCUGGUGAUGUAACUGCCUUGAGUCACCCAUGUACCUAUAAGUGGCCUCAAUAAAUUCAAUGGUUCACCAA
This 574-nucleotide long non-coding RNA is filed under the name Rattus norvegicus (Norway rat). Its description in RNAcentral is "long non-coding RNA NONRATT003535". The record is from RNAcentral. Lineage: Eukaryota; Metazoa; Chordata; Mammalia; Rodentia; Muridae.